CGCAACAGCACUGCAAGCCCUCUCCUUUCUGAGGUAAUCCAAUCUUCACAACGACAAAUGGUGGAAAAUCAGAGGCAGCAGAAGUGAGUGCUUCUGUGAAAUCCUGUAUCAGCGAGAAGAUGAAGAUGCUGAAGGAGCAGACAGUCACUGGAUCAUUCCAAGUUUUUGCUGUUUGGAGAGUGCAGAUGUCUGAGGGUCUGGGUGACUGCUUCAGAUUUUGGUGUGAUAUUUGGCCUGUUAGCACUGAAUAUCCAGAUAAAUAGAGGUACACCUUUAAGGCAGAAGAGUUUGCUGGACUUGGAGAAACAUUCUGAAUUUAUGAGCUGAGAACCAAACAGAUCGAGUAACUGACUAAUUAUUCGAAUUUGAUUAACAUCAUAAUUAAUGUUGUUCCAGGACUGUCAUUGAAAGUGACCAGUCACCUUGUUGUGAUCUCAUAGCUUUGCAAAAGACAGCAGUGGACAGCCACUGACUAUAUUCAACUUAUUCUCCUUUGCUCAGAGCUAUAUUUUCAGUAAGAAAAUAUCAGCAAGACUCAUGAGCGAACAACUAUUCCAGUGUCAACAACCUUUAGGUGAGUGGGAUCCAAACGCUUAAUUUUCAGGUGGUCAGUAAUCAGAUGUCAGUAAUGAGUUUCAUCACCAUUUGUCUAGAAUGAUGCCCUUGGUGAGACAGUUCCUCCCGGCAUAUUUCAGAGUGAAUGGAGUUGGACUUCUGAUCCUUCCAAGAUGUCAGUAUGUGAAGGCCACAAGUCCUAUACGUUUUUGGUUGUAUGGAGAAAUGCACUAGUCAUGAUCAAUCAUCAGGCGUCUGAGAGAACACUAAGAAUGGGGCGUUUUGGCGGGUGGCAGUCUACCUGAUUUAACCGAGGUGAACCUUAGCAGCAGAUCUUAAAACAACACGCACACUUCCUGGGAGUCUGACACUCAUUGUAUUUGGGAAGUAUACACCAAGAUACACUGUAAACACUUUUGAGCUACCAGAACAAAGUAAACCCUCUUGUACGAUGUAAUUAAUUGAUGUUUUGGUCAUCUUAGAACAUCACUGAUGGUAUUUCCAUGUACAUAUAAUGAGAGAAGUUCUCCAGCUUUUUAUUGGAAUGGAUCUGAGUGUACAGAUGUUGCUGGAUGUUAGUGUGAAUUGCUGUCUGUCUCUGUGUUUGCCCUGAAACUGACUGGUGACCUGUCCAGAGUGUACCCUGCCUCUCGCCCGAUGGCAAUUAGGAUAGGCCCCAGCCCCCUGUGAAUCUACACUGGAUGGUCUGAAGAGGAUGGAUAAAUAGGUACAAGUCAUUGUUCUAAAAACCUCUUUUUACACUUGUGAAAGAAAAGUAGUUCACUUACUCAUAGUUUAUAAAGUACACACAUUGUAGUGUUGUUGUUUUUUAAAUCAUUACUUAUUUUUCCAUGAUAAACUUUCCAUAUGCAAGGUGAUAUCUGCCUUGCUGCGUAUUUAACCUCAAGUACCAGGACGGGAUGACAUGCACGUUAGAGUUCACUCAACGGGCAAGGUUGAAUUCAGACAAUCUCAGAACCUUCACUUACAUUAGUAGAUGCUGAGUAAAGUAAAAAUACAAUCUUAAGAUGAAGUUUUGAUCCCCAAAGCUGGAUCCUAUAUGGAAAAAAAGGUGUGUUGCAAAUGUUAUGUAUACAUUUCUGUUUUGAUCAAAACAUAUUUAAGCCUGAAGUUGACAUAAUCUGCUCUGUAUUACCUAUCGACAAAUUAUUAAUGGGGAGUGCAUGUAUGUAAAUGCUAGAAAACAGUUGUUUCCAUGAAAUCUGUUUACCUUCCUGACAAGUUAGAGAUUUCAUAUGAGUUUUAUAGGUUGAGUGUGACUAUGCCAUGACAUUAAAAACAUUUAAUUCAA
Oreochromis niloticus (Nile tilapia) is the source of this 1867-nucleotide long non-coding RNA. RefSeq lists it as uncharacterized. The transcript is spliced from 2 exons. The record is from RefSeq and is a predicted model, not a curated record. Lineage: Eukaryota; Metazoa; Chordata; Actinopteri; Cichliformes; Cichlidae.